This 253-nucleotide ribosomal RNA is filed under the name uncultured bacterium. Its description in RNAcentral is "partial 16S ribosomal RNA". It matches the Rfam family "Bacterial small subunit ribosomal RNA", at positions 524 to 776 of the family's 1533-position model. The record is from RNAcentral.
UACAGAGGGGGCAAGCGUUGUUCGGAAUUACUGGGCGUAAAGGGCGCGUAGGUGGCCUUCUAAGUUGAACGUGAAAUCCCUGGGCUCAACCCAGGAACUGCGUCCAAGACUGGGAGGCUUGAAUCCGGGAGAGGGAUGCGGAAUUCCAGGUGUAGCGGUGAAAUGCGUAGAGAUCCGGAAGAACACCGGUGGCGAAGGCGGUCUGCUGGGCAGUUGCUGACGCUGAUGCGCGACAGCGUGGGGAGCAAACAGG